This 320-nucleotide ribosomal RNA is filed under the name uncultured bacterium. RNAcentral's name for it is "bacterial SSU rRNA". It matches the Rfam family "Bacterial small subunit ribosomal RNA", at positions 470 to 789 of the family's 1533-position model. The record is from RNAcentral.
UGACGGUACCUGACUAAGAAGCUCCGGCUAAAUACGUGCCAGCAGCCGCGGUAAUACGUAGGGGGCAAGCGUUAUCCGGAUUUACUGGGUGUAAAGGGAGCGUAGACGGAAGUGCAAGUCUGAUGUGAAAGGCAUGGGCUCAACCCGUGGACUGCAUUGGAAACUGUAUUUCUUGAGUGCCGGAGGGGUAAGCGGAAUUCCUGGUGUAGCGGUGAAAUGCGUAGAUAUCAGGAGGAACACCGGUGGCGAAGGCGGCUUACUGGACGGCAACUGACGUUGAGGCUCGAAGGCGUGGGGAGCAAACAGGAUUAGAUACCCUG